GGCCUAGCUGGUCUCUGUAGGUGCACUCUGCAGGGAGGCAGUCAGGGCUGUAAGCAUGGUGGGUGGGGAGGCUAAUUGUGGCCAUUUUCUGCGCAUACCUACAAAGGCUAUGACAUCCCUCUGAGCCCCAUCCUUGAAGGCAGGAAGGUUUUUGCCAUGUUCCAAUGGUCUGAGGCUGGUGUCCUUGACAGGACAGGCUCACAUCGACAACACACAUUCACUCAGGACAUCACUCCCUACAGUAGGGCAUCACACUACCAUCCAGGAUCUGCCCCAGAGGCAGUGGCCUUGACCGGAGAACUGCCUGGACCCUGAAGCUUCAGGCACCACAGCCACCAUAAUCAGAGCCUGAUUUUAUUAUCUCCCUUUCCAUCCUCUGAGGUCCCGUGCACUGGCGCCACUGGCCUGACCACAUGCCAAGAGCCACACGGAUCUUCCAGCCCUACCCAAAUCCCAGCCUGUGCUUGCUCAGUCCUCUCUGCCUCUGACCCUCCCUCCAGCCGUACCAACAGAAGCUCUUACGUUUUCAAUACAUCUGACUAAAUUGCAAUUUCCUGAUGCCACUCUGCAAAAUUUGCCCUUUCCUAUUCCUGCGGUACUGUAUUUUUUUCAAUCAUUAGUCUCCAGGCUGGAGCGUCUUAGCCAACUGUUUGUUUUGAGACAGGAUCUUGUUGUGUAACCCAGGCCUUCCUCAAACUCGCAAUCCUUCUGGUCAGACGGGUGCUUUCAGAAGUCUUUUUAGCUGCGUGUAUCUUUGUACCUGAGUGUCUGUGACGUAUGCGUGCACUGGCGCACACAAGCACACACAAGCACACACACUUGCAGAGGUCGGAAAAGGUUACUGGACCUCUAGAACUGGAGUUGCAGGUGCUUGUGAGCCAUCUGAUGUGGGUGCUGAGAACCGAACUCGGGUCCUCCGUAAGAGUGGUGAGUGCUCCAUAGCUCUGAGCCAUCUCCCCAGCCCUGACUCUUACCUUCUCCCAGAUGUGAAGGCUAACCCCUUGCCCCCAUUCUCCAGCAGGGUGUUCAGUGCAGGUAGAAGUCAGGGGGCUCUGGCUGGCUUAGAUGUUGGCACUGCCUUGACUGUCGUUAAAAUUAUUAUUAUUUUUUUUAAGAUGUUCUUUGUGUUGUCUAUGUAGAGGUGGUUUUUCAACAUAUGUCGGCAUGCCCUGUGCAUGCAGUACCUGUGGAAGCCAGCUGAGGACGCUGGCUGUCCUCUGACUGGAGUUAGGGACAGUUGUGAGCCUCCCUGUAGGUGCUGGGAACCAAACCUGGGUUCUCUGCAAAAGCAGCCAGCACUCCUAACCAUUUCCCCAGCCCUCUGCUGGGAAUACUUAGAGGCUUUGUAGCACAAAAAAAAAAAAAAAAAACAAAAAACAAAAACAAAACACAACAAAAAACAUCUCUAGAGCUUCAGAAUAGUCAGUCUCUGGGGAUGCACCCCAGUGUGAUCAAAUGUUAUCAUUCUUUUGUACCAAAAAGGUCAGCCAGGCAACCGUGUCCAUUCGUGGAGAACAGCAGCCUCACCAAUGCAGGGGACCAGGCCCCUGGUGUUUAGUCCCAGGGCUGAGUUGUGAAGAACUCAGAAGUGGUCCUAGAAAAAAACCCAGACCUCAUAUUUGCUCAAAUUAUUCCUAGGAAUUUUGCCUCCCCUCUCCCCCCAUCCCCAUCCCAUAACUGGAAAUAGGUACCUUAUAAAUUCUGAGGUCACAAAUCCAAAGAGUUAUCCCUAAGGGUCCAACCAUGUGCACUGACACCCUCCUCAUCCUCUGGGCAGGACCUGAGGUAACAGACCCACACAGGUAGAAUCAGAGCAUCAGGAAGUGUAGACUCCCUCAUUCUAAAGACCUCACCCUCAGACCUGACUUGCUGACGGAUGGUCUAGCGACCCAGAACAUCGCGUUCAGUGAUGUGGAGCACUACACACCAGGAAAAUCAAAUAAAAGGAAAUGAGAGCAAAAAUGCAGAGGGCCCAAGCACAAAGUGGUGGCAUCCCCACUUGUAGUCCCAGCUGCCCUCGUGAGCGGAGAACGCUGUCUGUAGAGGUUUGCCAAGGGUCAUGUAAAAACAGUUACGACCAUUAUAUCUUUUUAAACAAGAGUUUCUGGAGACAUGGGGUGCAAAAAAAAUCUCAGUUAUUCAAUAAGCCGGUGUCUUGAGUCAGCCUGGGAGUCCAUGAGAGGCCAAGCAGAAUCACUUCCUCCCGACUGGGGGUGGGGGCAGGGCGUGGUGGGGAUGGGGGCCCCAGCCUUCCAUUCCAGCUGUGUCUUAUCCUCAGGAGAGAGCAGGGGAUCCAGGGUGUAGCCAGCAGGUCUCCUGGGCAGGGACCCUUCAUUCCAGGCUCACGCUUGCUUCUCAUUUGCCAGUCUGACAUGAAGGAAACAGGCAGGUCUCCUGGGCGCCUGUGUCAAGGCAAGAAUGUUCUCUUCUCCCUGGAAUCUUGGCAGCCUUGGUGGGCACAGGGCUUUCUUUUAGACUCUUCAAAGCAAUGCCUGUGUCUCUGGGCACAUGCUUGUCACCUUCUCUAGCCCAACUCCAUGGGCUGGUGUUUAUUAAUGUCAUCCCUCUCUGCUCAGGUUUAUACUGUACCUCAUUUUGACUGUGUUUGUGUGUGUAUAUAUGUGUUGGGAGGUCAUUGUGUAGUGCAUGCCUGUAGUCCAAGCAUCAGGAGAGAGGCAGGAGGAAAGCCUCAACUUCAGAAGGCCAGCCUCGCCUACCUAGUGAGACCUUGUUUCAACAGACUAACAGUUUGGAAGAUAGCGCAGUCUACGAAGCGCUUGCUCGUGUGCAUAAGCAUUAGACCUUAGUUGGAUCCCCAGGACUCGCCGAGAAGUCAGGUGUGCUGGGACAUGCCUGUAACCCCAGCUCUGAUGGGUAGAGAGAGGAAGAACCCUGGGCUGUCUGGAACGACACCUGAAGUUGAUCUCCGGCCUCCUUGAGCACACGCACGCACGUGGCGCACAUGUAGACAAACAAGCACACGCACAAAACUCGUAAGUGAAAAAUAAUAAAAACGUUAAAAAUAGAAGGAGGGCUUGGGCUAGCAGUUCUGAGCCCGUUUGAGGUGUCACUCCCUCUCCGGGAUCUAAUGGAACAAGUGGACCCUCUCGCUGGAAGAACUCCCAGGCAGCCAGGACUGUGCGCACAGUUUGCGGCUUUCAAGGACCAGAGCCCUAGCCUGGGAACUGAGCUCUUGAGGGAGGGGACAGAGAGACGCAGAGGUAGGGAGUGGUGACUGGUGGCAGUCCUACCCAGACUAGUCACAGCUAGUGUCUCCUCUCAUACUCAGGCUAACUGGGGUGCCCGGUUAACAAAUCAAAGCUGCCAGCCCCCCCCCCCCCGAGUCCCUAAUCACAGCUACCUGUUACAGGGUCACCCUGGCUGGCGUACCCUGCUUCCUUCCCUUAGCUUCUCCUCUGCUUCCUGACCUCAGCCAUUUUGGCUGUGCAGUCUCUUGUUGCUCUUGGUUCGUACAUACUCUCUUGGCCUCCUCCCCCAACCCAGACAUCCCUCAUCCCCUCCCUCCCCAGCCCACUCCACCCCAUCUCCUCCCCGCAUCUCAUUGCCUAGUUCAAUCUGCUGGCCUUGUACAGUCUGGCCCCUUCCAGACACCUCUGGCUGUUUUCUCCCUCGUUAUCUACAAUAAACCUCCUCAGCCAUACCUAGGAACAUCGUGUCCUCAUUUUUUUUAAAAAUCGGUCCGCAACUGUGCUAGGCCACAGCAGAGAUACAUGGCCGUGUGCUGGGACUUGUGCACUGGAGCUGAAGGAAACUGGCUCUAGAGUCCCAGAGCAGCCUGCUUGCUGGAGGAGCCAAGUAGUGCUAUGUCCGACUGGUAGGUUGGGGCCCUCUCAGCCAAUUUGACAUGGGCUACCAGCGGCCUUCUGGCCAAAGAGGUAGGGAAGGGCUUGGUCACUUCAGACCAUAAAUGAAUGGAAUGGGGACACAAUCGUCCAAGGUAUGGCUGAGGACAAGGUUUUUUAUUGUAGAUGUGAGGGAGAGUAUUGCCAAGGCGUCUGGAAGAGUCCAGAGCAGCGAGAGAGAAAGUAGUACAUGGAACAUGGCCUGUAGUCUAAAUAGGGCCGUGAGGGGUUGUGGGAGAUGGAGAGAGGGAGGGAAGAAAGAGGGGCAGUAGGAGGGAGCCAAGCAGACGAAGAGCCAAGAGCCAAGGACCAAGAGAGCACAUGGUCAAAAAGGCAGGGCUAUAUAGGAAUCUGAAACAGGGGUAAGGACAGCGAGGCCCAUGGGCUGGAGACAGUUAGGAGAGGGGGCGUGGCAAGAAGAGCUGAGAGGAACCUCAAGGACUGAGUGAUCCUGGAGGCCCCCUGUGAGCUUUGGUAUGCCAGUAAGCAUUUGUGCUGGGUUUCUUUUGUGCCUGAUGCUAACUAAGGUCUUGUCUUUUCUGUGAGGGACUCACAGAAGUAGCAUGUGAUUGCUAGGGUAUCACUCUGUUCAGACCCGGGGAAAAACGGGGAAGUUUUUGCAUCCAGAUUUCAUCCCAGGACAUCAUCACAGGGGAUUUUGGAAUCUGGCGCAGCGCGUCCAGGAAGCAAGCACAGUGAUCCUUUGUAGCCCAGCACUCGUGCGGAGCUCCUGCUGUGCGGUGACUCAAGGAGGGUAGAAUUUCCCUCGGGCCCAGCCAGCUGGACAAGUCAGCGCUCUUCUCCUCGCAGGCAGGCCCCAGCACAGAGGAGCAGGGCCUGACGACGGGGAGGUUCCGAGGUGGGUGGGAGAGGAGGGAAGACAACCCACCAUGCACUGAAGCCCCUCAGUCAGGGUUUCCCCUCAUCCCCCACCCCCGAGCUUCCCAGCAUUCCCAGCACUGGUCCCACAUCAAUCGAAGACAGACACCUACCUGCACAUGGCUGCUUAGCUGAGUGAGACUGCUCCCAUCCACACCACACAUGGCGAGGCUCAGGCUUCAGGGGCUCCCCAGCUUUUAGGUCUAACCCUCACCUCACUGUGAUUUUUAAUGCCAACAGUUUUGUUCUUACUGGUAGGUUCUCUGGACUCUGUGUAUGUGGGGGGAGGGGGUGUUUCUUCCAGGCAGGGUCUCACUUAACUUGCCCAGGCUGGCUUUGGACUCACUCUGUAGCCCAUGCAGGCCUUGAACUUGCCACCCCAGAUAGCUGAGCUGACAGGCAUAAAUAUGCACUAUGAGGUGAGGUGUGAUUAUUGGCAGUCAUGCAGUCCCUGGCACGGUGAGGAUGACAGGUAGAACUCGGGGGAGUGGGGGGGAGCCACUGUUUUAGUCUGUGCAAGGAGGUGAUGAAUCCAUGACUUUCCUGUGGCCUUGGGAGCUCCUGAUGCCAGCGAGCAAAGACAGUCUACCAUAUACCAGCCCAUUGCCGUCACCAGGGAAGCACCUAGAACCACAUAAUUUCCUCCAAAAGUUCUCCCUUUGACUAAGGAGGUGAAAGUUAGCCAUGUCCUCUGGAUCUGGGGAGGGAGACACACUCUACAGAUGCUAGAAUGGAAGGGUUGCUGUCCUGACCAGAGCCAUCUUGGUCAGGACACACUGAAUCAAGAGGACAGGCCCUUGCCAUGAUGGCUCAGGCAUGCGAGGCAGAUGCCAACUGUCAUCCUGGAUACUGGCAAUGCCAAUCGAUUAUGCUUACUAGUUAUCAGUUCUCUGCAGAGUAACCUCUUGGGUGUGGCGGGGCCUUGCAGAUGAAUCCGCCACAGGCCUGCUUCUCCGCCGGUAUUCUGCUCAGUAGGGGAAAGGGAGGCCGUUCUAGGUCAUCCAAACUCUGGUCCUGCCCUCUUAUCCCUGGCUUACGCCUAGUCUUCGCUACACCAGACACCCUGGGGUCCUAGGCUCCCAGAAAUUAGUAAGUCCAGAUAUACAUGGCCUGGCGGCGCUCUUUUCGCCUCACACCAAGGUCAGCCAGCUCCAAGGCAGGUGCCUGGCCCUGGGCUGUGGAUCCUCAAGUCCCUUGUUGGCAGGACUACACUGAUAGAGGAGGCCUAGGACGCUCCCGCCCACCCCCUUUUCAUUGGCUCUGAAGGAGGAUCCAUUGGAAGGUGGCCCACUCAGGCGAGUGUGGCAGGGAAAAGGCCGUGGUGCCAUGGUGCCCCUCCUAGCGACAUGCCCUCUCUCUCUCAACGCUCCUGUAAAUUGGCUGCUCCCUUUCCAUCCCCACUCCUUCCUCAGGCCCACUGCCCACGACAAAGUGAGUCCCCAGGGAUCAGAACCCAGCUCCCAUCUCGCCCGGCCUCUUCCUGCUGUGACUUGGGCAGGGUACCUAACUUCGUAAGCUUGUUUCCUUGUCGGUAGAGAGGGGAGGAUGACUGCUCCUGUUCUCUUCAAGACGGCCCGUCUUGUCCUUAGAGGGUCCUGGGGAUGAGGAUGGAGACGGGGAUUUGGGACCAGCACUUGAACGACGGCGUCAGGAGGGUGGGUGUCAGUGAAUGGGUAGAGGACAAGUAAUCGAGCCUACUAGAAGAAACUGCAGAGCUUCCUGUGUGUGUCCGGGGACAUGAUGGGAGCAAUCCCCACCCCCAGCCUUCGGGUUUGUUGAAUGCCUGACACUGUGGAUUUUCCCAAAUGUUUAGUCCUCCUGACAAGCCUGUGAGGUUGAUGUUAUCCUGCCCAGAUGAGCUGGCUAAGGCCUCUGAGGCGGCAUGUGCUGAGUUAAGCGUUACUAACUGUAGAGGCAGUGACAGAGUCCCACCCCUCCAGCUACAUGCCUUCCUCAGGUGGUGACUUUCUGGGCCUGGAAUGUGUCAGCGUCUGACUGUACUUCCAGGUGUAGUGGCCUUCAGAGUUGGAGCUCUCUUGCUGUCUAGGCACCAGCUCAGAGGGCACAGACUGUCCUUGGCUGCCCCGUGAGGGAUGGGGAGCAAAUCUGGGAGUGUCCCUGCAGCCCUGACCCAGAGCCAGGACUUUUCCCCCUACCUCAAGGGGAGAGGGAGGAGCUUUCCCAUGGGGAUUUCCCCAAGGGACUGGAGUGGGCUUUUUUUCCCUGGGGUCAGAGAAGGACAAUUCAUGUUGGCUGAGGUGGGGAAUCCCCUGUGGAUUUCAUGGUGCCAAUGGGAGGAGCUUGUUGUUUUCCUGAAGCACCAGUCCUUAAGGGAGAAGAAAGACUAGGGUCUGUCGCAAUUGGCCUCAUAGCCACUCCUUGGUGUCUGGAUCUUCAUCUCCCCCUCCCUCACCUUACUUGCUGCCGCUGCCGUGAGACCAUGACACCAGGCCGGGACACUUGUCUUAAAAGCUGAAGGGAACAGUCUGAGAUUUGGAGCCUCUAUCCACUUCUGAGGAGAAAUAAGACACCAGAUUGGUGGCACUCGGUAGAAACAAGGUGCGGAGCGGGCAGCGACGCAGAAGAAAGCAACUGGGAGAGUCGGGAAGGCCAAGAUCAGAUAGCCCCGUCUCAUGGCUCUCAUGCAGUGUGGCAUGAAAGCGGUGGCAGCCAGCAGGGCAGGGCUCGCUGAGGGCGGCCCUUCCAUUCCAGUGACCCAGCCACCUCCAGCGUUCCACAGAGCCAGUGAUUUCAGAGCGGGCAGACCCCGUUCAAGACACAGCAGCGCUUCCAGGGGAAAUAUGCCUGGCUGUGGGCCCACAGGAUGGCCUUCCUGCUCCCUGCUCGGCCACCCAAAGGCCAAACCCUUCCAGCUCUCUCCAGAGCUCCCACAUGGGGCUCCGAAGUCAAGGAAGGCCUUGAACAGUUUAGUUCUAGACCAAGAAUUUACUAAAACGCCCGCCUCAACACACACACACACACACACACACACACCCGCCCGCUGCAUAUGGUUCCUCUGGUGUCCUGCCGAAUCUCAGUCUAAAUGACAAAAAAAUAAAAAUGUUCACUGGCUACUUGAUGUAAGUCAGCAUGUCUAUACCAAAAUGUAUUGCUGGAUGGGGGUGCCACUGGCGUGGGGGACUGCUGGCGUGGGUGAGGGAGUGAUGUUGUUGACUGACGUUGUGGGGUGCUGCUGACGUAGGGUAAUGCUGACAUGGGGGGGCUGCUGAUGUGACUGGAGAAAGGCAGUUUUUAAAACCGUGUGUAGCCUCGGACCAAGCAAUCUGCUCUAUAGAACUGAGGAAGAACCAUGUCUAGGCCAAGGGGAAUGCACAAGGUGUCUAGAAGUGCUGUUUAUAAGGGAAACUUCGGGUAGCCUCGGGAAACUUCCAAAAGAAAUGAUUCGGGAGCCAGUUGGAUUGCCUAGUUUUUAGAGCUUGCUUGCCACCAAGCCUGAGUGUGACCCUAGCUCCCACGCAUGGCCUUCUGACUUCCGCACCCUCAGGUGGCACAUGUGUAUCCUCGCAUUCAACUACACACUAAAUAAAAUUUAAAAAGAAAAGAAGUUGUUCACCGUUUCCCCAUCUAUCCAAGGGUGUGUCAGACACCAGAGCGAUAUACACACAUAUUUAUUGAGAAAUAUGUUAUUUGUAGGGUUUUUCCCUUUUUUCCCUUAAGGUUUCUCUGUGUAGCCCUGGCCGUUCAGGAGCUCUCUAUGUAAACCAGUCUAGCCUCUAACUCAAAGAUCCACCUGCCUCUGCCUCUGCCACCCAGCUCUGUUGUUUGUGUUUGGAGACAGCAUGUCACUGUUUUGCCCUGGCUGGCCUGGAAAUCGCCAGUCUAGCUUGAAACUCACAGAGAUCCACCUGCCUCUGCCUCCUGAUGCUGUGAUUUCCAGCUGUUUGUUUCUGAGAUAGGACAUUAUGUAGCCCAGGCUGGCUCUGGGCUCAUUGUACAGCCUGACCUGGAAAGCUUGAGCUGCCCGUCUCCACCCUCAAGUGCUGGGAUAACAGGUGUGCACCGCUGUACCUGGCAAUGUGUUUGGAUAUAUUGGCUUUAAGCAAAGAACAAAUAGAGAGACCUUACAUCAUAUAGACAGGAGCUUUGCAUCCUUGGAAGUUGAAAAUGACCAGUCUCUUAGCCUCGGCCUGUCUCCCACACCUGGAAAAAGUGAUACCUCCAAGACUUUGGCAGGUAUCAUGUGCUGAGUACUCGGCCAUGUGUGUCCGGAACACAUGGACCUGGAGGGCUCUGCAGCAGCCUUGAUGUUCUGUUUUGUUUUGGAGGGAAAGCUAACAGUGAGUCAUUUCACUAUUUCCUUGUUUUCUACAAGGCAUACUUCUACGAUGAUGGCAUACUUUUUUUUUAUGUGCAUGUUAUUUUAAUGUGUAUAUAUAUUUUUAGUGCAGCCAUUGAAGAGUUGAGAAGAGGGGGCAGGGGUGGCAAGAUGGCUCAGUGGGUAAAGGCCCUUAUCAUCUGAUAAUGCAAGCCUAGAAACCUGAGUUCAAUCCCCUACACCUACACAAAGGUGGAAGGAGAAAGCCAACUGUACAAAACUGUUGUUCUCCCCGCAUCACACACAGAUACACAACAUUAAAUGUUAAAACUUUUUUUUUUUUUUUU
Meriones unguiculatus (Mongolian gerbil) is the source of this 9365-nucleotide long non-coding RNA. RefSeq lists it as uncharacterized. The record is from RefSeq and is a predicted model, not a curated record. Lineage: Eukaryota; Metazoa; Chordata; Mammalia; Rodentia; Muridae. The transcript is spliced from 3 exons.